RNAcentral lists this ribosomal RNA (119 nucleotides) under Orchesella cincta. Lineage: Eukaryota; Metazoa; Arthropoda; Collembola; Entomobryomorpha; Orchesellidae. The record is from RNAcentral.
GCCAACGGCCAUACCACGUUGAACACACCAGUUUUCUCGUCCGAUCACUGAAGUUAAGCAACGUCGGCCCGGUAGUACUUGGAUGGGUGACCGCCUGGGAACCCCGGGUGCUGUUGGUA